RNAcentral lists this long non-coding RNA (588 nucleotides) under Brachypodium distachyon (stiff brome). RNAcentral's name for it is "long non-coding RNA (BDIS_LNC001185)". Lineage: Eukaryota; Viridiplantae; Streptophyta; Magnoliopsida; Poales; Poaceae. The record is from RNAcentral.
UGAACUUUUGUUUUCGGUUUCUGCAAAUAUUUGAUAUCUGGUCUGGACAUUUUUUGCCCCAAAAACCGAUAACUGGCGGUUAUUUUUCGGUUCGGCUCUCUUUUUGGUGUCUGCUAGAGUUGCUCUUACAGGAGAGCAUACGACAAAAAAAAAUUAAAUGCGCGUAAUAAAAAAAAUGAUGAUCAAUUCUAGCUCUUAUAAGAUUAGAAAACAAAUGCGCGCAAUUACGCGACAAUAAAUAUAUGCAAAAACUAAAUACAAGUACCUUCGAUUUCAAUAAAAAAAAAUUAUGAAUGAAUAUCCGUGCAGGUAAUAUCUUAAUUUUCAAUAAAAACUAAUAAAAUGAGAAAUAAAAUCUCGGCGUCAAUGGAUGCAAUAAAUCUUCGAUUUGAAGCAAGAAGUAAUGCGCAAUAAAAUCUAAAUGCGGCAUCAUUCAAUGGCGAUUGAUUGGCAAUCUUAUCAGAUAGAUAUCAUUUCCGCCACCGCGCCUGCAUUUAAUUCGAUCGAAUGAUAUCGAUCCUACCUGUCCUGCGCCGAGGAAGCUUCGUCCGUAAGCAUCCGAAAAACGCCAGUUUUCUCCUCUCGCCC